Molecule: RNA transcript, 1487 nt
Organism: Varanus komodoensis (Komodo dragon)
Lineage: Eukaryota; Metazoa; Chordata; Lepidosauria; Squamata; Varanidae
Gene: AKIP1
Gene name: A-kinase interacting protein 1
Exons: 7
Source: RefSeq, a predicted model, not a curated record
GCUAGGGGCCGGAUGUGUUUUUCGAGUGAAGCUGCCUCAAGACCCUGGUCCUUUUACGAGGAGUUUGCUUAUCAGCCGACAGUUUGAACCCAUCUCUGGGUUGUUCUGAGGCGUGCAACAGGUCGUGACAGUGUAAGCCUAAGCACACCGCAUGUCUCUUCUCUAGAGCUUCUGGAGUUGAAGGUCUGGAUGUGGGGGAGGUUUAAUCCUUAGCACCUCUUCCUUUCUGGGGAUUUGGAAGCCAUGAAGAUGUAGUUUAUAUGAGCAAAAUGUUCAAAGCAUUGGCUGGACUACCUCCGGGAAACAACAAGCGAAUAGGAAUUGUUAGAGGAAUGACAUGGGGAUGUCAUUUGUCUCCAUCUCCUGUCCCGUACUGUUAUUUGUUGCUGUCUAAACAAAUUUGCUGUUUUUGUUAAAUUUUUAAAUUGGGACACAAGGAAUGGAGUCCCGGUCCCUAAGUGUGACCCGUCACAUGCAACGUACAGCAACACUUGCUCGGGAGGUCCUAGAACGGGCCAAAACACGGAAAUUGCACUGGCCGCUGCCUACUGAACUGCAAAGAAGAACCUUUCAGCAGGAAGGGGCCAGUGAAGAUGCACACCUUGCUGCUGCUUUUGCUUCAGUUGCUGAACACUUAAGCCACAUCUCAGCCGAAUGUGAGAAUUACUAUUGCUGCGUGCCCCCCUUUCAGUUCAAAGAGCAUGAAGUUGCACAUAUUUUCAGAUAUCACAGCAGGCAAGCAUCUGAAAAUUUGCUGAAAGCAUUUAAAAAUGAGGAAUAUAAAACUGGUCCCAUUGUAGAAGAACCUGGAUGCCCUGAUACAGAAUCAUCUGCAUUAGUUCCAGUUAAGAAUGCUCAGCUGAAAAAUCCUGACCUGCAAGUUUUACAUGCAGGAUAUUUACAUUGAAGUUUCUCCGGGCAUCUACACAGUCUGCGCAUCAUCAUGUGAAGACACAGUCAGACAAACACAUCUUGUACAGAUCCAACCAGAAGAAAGUGUAAAUUUGACUUUUGAUUUAUGAUCUCAUCAUAAUCAAGGUGGGCGAUCUAUGGCAUCCUCAUGUAAGAUAGUAUUUGAAGAUUAUGAACUCCUUGGAACUGGAUCAUUGUGAGAGCUAUCCUGAGAAGGGCAGUGAAUAUUUCUGCCAUUAUUCUCUGAACCAUCACACAGGACAGACUGCAGAUGCCUUAUGUACUUAAUUGCUGCUCGGAGUGUUUCAACUUUGCUGAGCCGUUUCUCUAAGUAUUCAGCAGAUUCUUCAUUGGAAACAAAAAAGGCUAUGUGGAUACCUUAUUUAUUCAUCUGAACUAUGAUUUCAGAAGAUAUAGUUCCAGACUAUUCUUUGAACUACAAAAGAUAACUGGUAAUUUGACAAAAGGAACUUUUAACAAAUGGUGUUUGAAUCAUAUUAAAAAUGAAAAACUUACCCCAAGAUCUUCAUCACUUUGUAUUAGUUGUGAAUGUCCAAAGAGACGUCUCUUCAGAA